RNAcentral lists this ribosomal RNA (495 nucleotides) under Hyposerica sp. DA2877. RNAcentral describes it as "partial 16S large subunit ribosomal RNA". It matches the Rfam family "Bacterial large subunit ribosomal RNA", at positions 1844 to 2600 of the family's 2925-position model. Lineage: Eukaryota; Metazoa; Arthropoda; Insecta; Coleoptera; Scarabaeidae. The record is from RNAcentral.
UUUAAGGUCUAAUCUGCCCUAUGAGGAGUUAAAUGGCCGCGGUACUCUGACCGUGCAAAGGUAGCAUAAUAAUUAGUUUUUUAAUUGAAAGCUGGAAUGAAUGAUUGGACGAGAAAAUAACUGUCUCAGUUUAAAUUGAUUAGAAUUUUAUUUUUAAGUAAGAAAGCUUAAAUUUUUUUAAAAGACGAGAAGACCCUAUAGAGUUUUAUAUUUAUAUAAUUAUGGGUUUUUUGGUAUAUUUUUAUUUGUAUUUAUAUGGGUAUUUUAUUGGGGCGAUAGAAAAAUAUGAUGAACUUUUUUUUUAUUAUUACAUUUGUAUAUGAAAUUUUGAUCCAUUGUUUUUGAUUAUAAGAUUAAAUUACCUUAGGGAUAACAGCGUAAUUUUUUUUUAGAGUUCUUAUCGAAAAAAGAGAUUGCGACCUCGAUGUUGGAUUAAAAUAGACGUUUGGUGUAGGGGCUAAAUGGUUAGGUCUGUUCGACCUUUAAAAUUUUACA